RNAcentral lists this transfer RNA (76 nucleotides) under Methyloligella solikamskensis. RNAcentral's name for it is "tRNA-Thr". It matches the Rfam family "tRNA". Rfam says of the family: Transfer RNA (tRNA) molecules are approximately 80 nucleotides in length. Their secondary structure includes four short double-helical elements and three loops (D, anti-codon, and T loops). RNAcentral also lists the same sequence under 3 other names. The record is from RNAcentral. Lineage: Bacteria; Pseudomonadati; Pseudomonadota; Alphaproteobacteria; Hyphomicrobiales; Hyphomicrobiaceae.
GCCGCCUUAGCUCAGUUGGUAGAGCACAUCAUUCGUAAUGAUGGGGUCGCGUGUUCGAGUCACGCAGGCGGCACCA